CGUGCGCUGGGCACCCAAAGUCUGGGGCCCCAGUCGGCACUUCUGUCUCCUGCGCAAGCAGAACAGCAGUGUUAGAUGCAUCCGAGGGUCUCCCACACUGAAUGGUUGUGCUAGCAAACACUAGCAUAGCACAUUAUUAUUAUUUAUUAAAUUUAUAUACCGCCCUUAGCUGGUGGCCUAGGUCACCUGCCUCACCCCUUGGAAACUUACCUGGCAAGGGGGCAGCAGAGGAGGGCAAGCAAAGUGGCUGCAGCAUAGAAUUACAUCGGGAUCCACAGGAGAGUAGCCAAAGGACAGACAAAAAAAAGGCGCUGAGGCACUGAAGCUGCCUGAGAGGCUACCAAGAAGAACAGAGGCCUUUUGGCACAGCCAUUUGCAUUUCAGCCUAUGAUCCUAAGCUAUCAAGGAGACAGAAAGAUGUGAGAGGUUUCCCUGCAAGGCCCUGGAAAUGGCUCCAGGUCCCUCCAGGUCCUUCAGACACGAAAGACUCCUGAGACUGGCAGCAGCUAGACAGUAUGACUGCAAAAACAAACAACAACUUUGAAACAAAUAUCUGAAACAAAAUGGAUAAGAAAUUUAUAACAUCCUGGUUAUUUCA
Molecule: long non-coding RNA, 598 nt
Organism: Podarcis raffonei (Aeolian wall lizard)
Lineage: Eukaryota; Metazoa; Chordata; Lepidosauria; Squamata; Lacertidae
Exons: 2
Source: RefSeq, a predicted model, not a curated record